RNAcentral lists this long non-coding RNA (181 nucleotides) under Penaeus monodon (black tiger shrimp). RNAcentral describes it as "uncharacterized LOC119570777". The record is from RNAcentral. Lineage: Eukaryota; Metazoa; Arthropoda; Malacostraca; Decapoda; Penaeidae.
UAACAGAAGACGCAAAAAUAGCGAAAGUGACAACGAAGAAAACCCACCCUCCAAGCAACACCGGAACGAAGAAGCCGGAAAGAACUUCACGCAAUUCCAACCAGAAAUGAACAAUAACUCAGAAUCCAACUCUCAAGCGCAAACCAGACAUCGAUAAUAAAGUACUACAUAUUGAGACAUA